Long non-coding RNA from Spinacia oleracea (spinach), 866 nucleotides. RefSeq lists it as uncharacterized. The record is from RefSeq and is a predicted model, not a curated record. NCBI's taxonomy places the organism in Eukaryota, Viridiplantae, Streptophyta, Magnoliopsida, Caryophyllales, Amaranthaceae. The transcript has 5 exons.
AGCGGGAUUAUUUUUGUAAAGCCCGGACAAAUUAAGUUUUCACAACUUUCUCAGAACCAAUAUCGUGAUUCAUCCGCUUAAACCCUAGAUAUUCUUCCUCAAUUUCUUUAAUAUUCCAUCUCCUUCCUAAACUCUAAUCGAUCACAAAUCUCACGAUUCACACAAGAACAAAAGGCGAGACAGAAGAGGAACGAAAUCAGAGGAUUGAAGCUUCUAUUGUUGGAGUUUGCUACGAAAUCUACGACAUUGAAGGUUUAAUCAUCCGAACUGCUAUCUAAUUGAGCUAUUGGCAAAGGAAGGAUAUCUUGUUGUGUUGGUUCCUUAUAAUGUGACAUUCAAUCAUGAAGAUGCAGCUAGGCAAGUUUAUGAGAGAUUUAAUGCCUGCUUGGAUAUCCUUCUCACCUGUGGACUUUCUGAUGCAAAAAUGUUGUUGGUGAGAUCAGAAGAGGUGUUUUUGAAGAAACUGGUUUGACAUGUAGUGCUGGUGUGGCUCCUAAUCGAUUACUGGCUAAGAUUGGAGGCAUUGGCAAGGUUACCGAGCAUAUCCUAAGGAAUACUUUUGAAAUAAAUACAUGCAAGGAUUUGCUUGAGAAAGGCAGUUUUCUCUGUGCCUUGUUUUCUCCUUCAUCUGCAGAUCACUGAUUACCUUGUGGUUUUUCUUAUCUUUGAAUCUUUAAAGUCGUAUCAUUAAUUCUCUUAUGAAUGAUUUAGCUGUGUGGUAGCCAAGAUUUUCCAGAGGUCUCUUCUGCAUUCUUCUUGUGCCAUUGUAUAAUACAAGAGUGUGCUUCUUGAGCUUACUAGUGUCCAGGCUCGAAGGAGAGGGAAGCGAGCUAUAGAGUUGGAAAAAAGGUGGAAGAUGUCCUGGC